This 235-nucleotide long non-coding RNA is filed under the name Nicotiana benthamiana. Its description in RNAcentral is "long non-coding RNA (NBEN_LNC008127)". The record is from RNAcentral. Lineage: Eukaryota; Viridiplantae; Streptophyta; Magnoliopsida; Solanales; Solanaceae.
UUAGGUCUGUCCAAAUGACCCCAAAGGCUAUAUAUCAAAUAUAGCCUUUGCAAAUGUAGCCUAAUCAAUUACAGAAAUAGUCUAUUUACACAUAUAGCCUAACUACAGAAAAUAAGCUAAUUACAAGAAUAGCCUAAUUACAUAAGUAGCCUAUUAGGCUCAGAUAUGACUCCCUUAUUGACCCUUACCGGUCUAAAGUGGGUUUAUCGUCAUCGCCUAUAUACAUCUCAACAUC